Molecule: unclassified non-coding RNA, 159 nt
Filed under: uncultured Mycosphaerella
Lineage: Eukaryota; Fungi; Ascomycota; Dothideomycetes; Mycosphaerellales; Mycosphaerellaceae
Description: sequence contains ITS2
Source: RNAcentral
GAACCUUCAAGCUUAGCUUGGUGUUGGGCGUCCUUGUCCCUGCCUUGGUGCAGGGACUCGCCUCAAAAACAUCGGCGGUGGUAAAGUCAGCCCAGAGCGCAGCAGAGUUCGUGCUAAAGGAUAUCUGACUAGACGCCUGCCACAACCUUAUAUCUUCAA